AGAUAGUGUAACAGGAGUCCACUUAAUGCUUUGAAUACAACUCUUACUGCUCUUGACACUGCAACUUAUUUUUAAAAUGGUCUUGUUUUUUUCUCUUCCUCUCUCCUUGCUUCUCCCUAAUCUCUCUCCCACCCUAAUCUCAGGGAAAAUAUGAUUACCUUUCUUCCCCAUCCUAGGCAGAGUUAUUGGUCCCUGAGUACACACCCACCAUAGGAAAGAAGUAAUCCAAACUUUGGGGAUGGUACCAGAAGAUCUCAGAAACUCCCCAAAAUUAACAAGUGAAUUACAGCUCCAACAGAGAACACAUGGAACAUAGCCUUUGAGUCACCUCUUAAAAAGUUCCCUGUUCCUGCUGAUGGGCAGAAUCACAGCCUCUGGGACAGGACUCCUUGGUGUUUCUCCUUUGCUAGCAAAGCAAUAAACCUUUUUCCUUUUUCUCAAAACUGUGUCUUUGUUAUUGGAUUGGCAUCAAGGACAAGGACUGAGCUUUCAGCAAAACUGCCAGGUGUUUAAGACCAAGUUGGUCAAACUGACUCGUUGUUUGCUCCUACAGUCAGCUGAGAUUCCUCAGAGAUCACCCUUGUGUACAUGUGCAAAGCAUCCUGGCUCCUUUAGCUUUUCUUUACCAGUGGUGCCGCUUGCCAGGAUGGGUUGGGGUUUCCUAUAUGGACAUUUAAAAGGAAAAACUUUUUUUUAAUGUAAUGUAAAAUGUACACUUGUGUCAGGCCUACCAAAAGUAAGUAAAGCUGAAGGCUACAAAGGAAGGGUUCUUGAGUGAGAGUGCCUAACAAUAAUGAUCACAAGAAUCACAAAUUUGUCCUGAGUUAAUUUGAGCCUGAUUUCAUAGACUUACAAAUUUCCUAAUCUCCCACAUUGAUGAACUUGGUCUGUUUUAUUGAUAAGAUUAUGAGUUCCUGUCCUUAUGGUUUUCAGAGACUGGCUGAAAUACUGUUUUUUGUGCUAAUUAUUUGAAAAAAAAAAAAAAGUAAUGCUUUGCUGUCUUUAUUGUUGUCUUAGGAUGAUCCCUGCCCUAUGAAUGCCUUGUCCAGUCACCUGCCAUCUUCCACUGUGUACCUCAGGACUGCUCGGAUGCUGAAUGCCCUUAACUGUCCACACCCCACCUGAUAGAGAACAAGAACUUUGGGUUACUUCCCCCAACUUUGCUCCUUUUCAGCAGGAAGCAGUUUGGAGAUGUUAUCACCCAUUUUUCCAUAUAAGUGGACUAUAGAAAGCUGGGCAUGGUGGCACAUGCCUAUGUAAUCCUAACAGCUCAGGAGGCUGAGACAGCAGGAUCAUGAGUUCAAAGCCAGCCUCAGCAACUUGGUGACCCCUUGUCUCUAAUAAAACAUAAAAAAGGACUGGGGAUGUGGCCUGGUGAUUAAGUGCCCCUGGGUUCAAUCCCUGGUAUGAAAAAAGAAAUUUAAUAUAGAAAUUGACAGUGGCAACACUUCUCUGAAGAGAAGGGGCCCCAGAACUGGGUAUCUGAGGAAGUGGGGGUGUCCUUCUCCUUUUAUACAUUUUAGAUUUCCUUUGUUCUCAUGCUAUCCCCCAUCGUGCCUAGAUGGCCCAAAAAGUGGAGUGGAAUGAUCCACGGGUGGGGAAGGAGCCUUACAGGGGUACAGGCAGAAAGGAAGCAUCCCAGGGGGCAUUAAUUAACAACUCUUUGUAGGGAGGAACAAUUCUCUGGAAACAAGUAACCCUGGCAACAGGUAACCCUGGCAACAGGUGGGGGAAAAGGAAGUACUUUAGAGGUAUUAAUAUUUCAUUCCCUUUUGGGUAGGUUGUGGCUUAGUGGUAAAAUGCUUGCCUAGCAUGCCUAAGGCACUAUGUUCAUCCCUGGCACCACAUAAAAAUAAACAAAUAAAAU
RNAcentral lists this long non-coding RNA (1867 nucleotides) under Marmota monax (woodchuck). Lineage: Eukaryota; Metazoa; Chordata; Mammalia; Rodentia; Sciuridae. The record is from RNAcentral.